This 429-nucleotide ribosomal RNA is filed under the name Bacillota bacterium. RNAcentral's name for it is "Firmicutes bacterium partial 16S ribosomal RNA". It matches the Rfam family "Bacterial small subunit ribosomal RNA", at positions 355 to 776 of the family's 1533-position model. The record is from RNAcentral. Lineage: Bacteria; Bacillati; Bacillota.
UGGGGAAUCUUGCGCAAUGCGCGAAAGCGUGACGCAGCAACGCCGCGUGGGGGAAGACGGCCUUCGGGUUGUAAACCCCUUUCAGGAGGGACGAAGGUUCACCGGUGAAUAGCCGUGUGGAUUGACGGUACCUCCAGAAGAAGCUCCGGCUAACUACGUGCCAGCAGCCGCGGUAAUACGUAGGGAGCAAGCGUUGUCCGGAAUCAUUGGGCGUAAAGCGCGCGUAGGCGGCCCCGUAAGUCCGCUGUGAAAGUCAAAGGCUCAACCUUUGAAAGCAGGUAGAUACUGUGGGGCUAGAGUCCGGAAGAGGCGAGUGGAAUUCCUGGUGUAGCGGUGGAAUGCGCAGAUAUCAGGAGGAACACCAAUGGCGGAGGCAGCUCGCUGGGACGGUACUGACGCGAAGGCGCGAAAGCGUGGGGAGCGAACAGG